AUGCACAUUGGGAUUCAGAUUGCCAUUCAUAUUGCAACCCAUGUUGCAGUUUCUAUUGCAUCCCACACUGCAGUUUAUAUCGCAGCCCAUAUUGCAAUUCAUAUUGCAGCUCUCACUGGGGCUCACAUUGCAGCCUUUAUUACAAUUUAUAUUGCAGCUCCGCUUGCAACUCAGACCACAGUUUAUAUUACAGCUCAUAUUGCAACUCAAAUUGCAGCUUAUAUUGCAUCUCAUAUUGGAGCUCGCGUUGGGAUUCAUAUUGCAACCCAUAUAGCAAUUUAUACUGCAGCUUACACUGCAAUUUAUACUGCAACUCGUAUUGCAAUUCAUAUUGCAAGCCAUGCUGCAGUUUGUAUCGCAGCUCAGAUUGCAGCUCAUAUUGGAGUGCACAGUGGGAUUCAUAUUGCCACUUAUAUUGCAACCCCUAGAGUGAUUUCUAUUGCAGCUUACACUGCAAUUUAUUCUGCCUCUCAUAUUGCAGCUCAUAUUGCAAUUCAUAUUGCAGCUCACCUUGCAGCUCAGAGCACAGUUUAUGCUGGAGCUCACAUUGGGAUCCAUAUUGCAGCCCAUAAUGCAAUUUAUCUUGCAGCUCUCAUUGGAGCUCACAUUGCAGCCCAUAUUGCACUUUAUAUUGCAGCUCACCUUGCAACUCAGGCCACAGUUUCUCUUGCAGCUCAGGAUGCAAUUUAUACUGCAACCCGUGGUGCAAUUUAUGUCACCAUCAAUCUUGCAGCUUGUACUGCAGUUCCUGUUGCCACUCCCAUUGCAACCCAGCUCACAGUUCCUACUGCAGCUCAACACUGCAGUUUGCACCACGGCUUCAUGCUGCACUGCUGCUCUUUGUGUUGCAGCCAAUCCUGCAGUUUGCAUCGCAGCUCCCCAUGCACGUCACACAGCAAUGCACACUGCAAUACUGCCAGCCACGGCACGACUUGCACUGUGAUCCAUGCAGCUUACAUUGCAAUUCAUACUGCAGUCCCAGCCGCGUCCCACGCCGCCCCCCCGUAA
RNAcentral lists this long non-coding RNA (1008 nucleotides) under Chrysolophus pictus (golden pheasant). RNAcentral's name for it is "lncRNA (ENSCPIG00010007322.1)". The record is from RNAcentral. Lineage: Eukaryota; Metazoa; Chordata; Aves; Galliformes; Phasianidae.